Molecule: small RNA, 28 nt
Filed under: Bombyx mori (domestic silkworm)
Lineage: Eukaryota; Metazoa; Arthropoda; Insecta; Lepidoptera; Bombycidae
Description: ovarian small RNA-25536
Source: RNAcentral
UCAGAACCACCGCAGGGAUGCCGUCUGU